RNAcentral lists this ribosomal RNA (453 nucleotides) under uncultured bacterium. RNAcentral describes it as "bacterial SSU rRNA". It matches the Rfam family "Bacterial small subunit ribosomal RNA", at positions 340 to 786 of the family's 1533-position model. The record is from RNAcentral.
UACGGAAGGCAGCAGUGGGGAAUAUUGCACAAUGGGCGCAAGCCUGAUGCAGCCAUGCCGCGUGUAUGAAGAAGGCCUUCGGGUUGUAAAGUACUUUCAGUCGUGAGGAAGGUGUUAAGGUUAAUAACCUUAGCAAUUGACGUUAGCGACAGAAGAAGCACCGGCUAACUCCGUGCCAGCAGCCGCGGUAAUACGGAGGGUGCGAGCGUUAAUCGGAAUUACUGGGCGUAAAGGGCACGCAGGCGGUUAAUUAAGUUGGAUGUGAAAUCCCCGGGCUUAACCUGGGAAUGGCAUUCAAGCUGGUUAGCUAGAGUCUUGUAGAGGGGGUAGAAUUCCAUGUGUAGCGGUGAAAUGCGUAGAGAUGUGGAGGAUACCGGUGGCGAAGGCGGCCCCUGGACAAAGGACUGACGCUCAUGUGCGAAAGCGUGGGGAGCAAACAGGGAUUUAGAUACC